RNAcentral lists this ribosomal RNA (257 nucleotides) under uncultured bacterium. RNAcentral's name for it is "partial 16S ribosomal RNA". It matches the Rfam family "Bacterial small subunit ribosomal RNA", at positions 793 to 1055 of the family's 1533-position model. The record is from RNAcentral.
GUCCACGCCGUAAACGAUGGAUACUAGCUGUUGGGAGCAAUCUCAGUGGCUAAGCGAAAGUGAUAAGUAUCCCACCUGGGGGAGUACGUUCGCAAGAAUGAAACUCAAAGGAAUUGACGGGGGCCCGCACAAGCGGUGGAGCAUGUGGUUUAAUUCGAUGAUACGCGAGGAACCUUACCAAGGCUUAAAUGUAGAUUGACAGGUUUUGGAAACAGACUUUUCUUCGGACAAUUUACAAGGUGCUGCAUGGUUGUCGU